AUGGACGCCGCCGCAGGGGGAGGAGAGGGAGAAGUAUUUGUCAACUACGCCCAAAUCGAGGAGUACUUCAACAACAUGGCACUGGAGGGCCCGUCCGCGCAGGACCGCAUGGACGGCAUCGUCUCCCAAAUCAUCUCCCUCCUCCCCGCGCCCUUCCUCCCCGCGCCCGACGCCGACGACUCCUCCGACUCCGACGACGACCACUUCUCCCUCACCUCCUCCGACUCCGAGGACACCGCCGCCGCCGCCGUCGACGCCGACCGGCCCGCCGUGCAGGAUGGUGACGGCCAGGACCACAUCAGCCGCCUCCCGGACGACCUGCUCUGCAACAUCAUCUCCCGCCUCCCCACCAAGGAAGCCGCGCGCACCAUGGUACUCUCCACCCGCUGGCGCUGCGUGUGGGCGGCGACCCCGCUCCUCGUCGACGACGCCCACCUCAGGGCCGCCGACGGGCCCCGCGAUUUCCACGCCGUGCGCGCCGUCUCUCGCUGCGUGGCCGCUCACCCCGGCCCCGUCCGUGCCGUGCGCUUCAUCCGCACCUCCUUCCACCGGCAGGAGUACGCGCUCGAGCAGCUGAUCGCCAGCCUCGCCGCCAAGAAGAUCCAGGACCUCAUCCUCUUCAACCGCCCCUGGCCGCUCGACAUGCCGCUCCCCGACAACAUCCUCAGCUGUGCCUCCCUCACCCGCCUCUACAUCGGCGUCUGGCGCUGGCGCUUCCCAGACACCACCACCCUCCGCCCCGCCUUCCCCAACCUCGAAGAGCUCGGCCUUUUCCACUCCAUCAUCGAGGACAGAGAAGUCGAUGCCUUGCUCGCGCACUGCCCCAAGCUGAAAAUCCUCUCCUUUGCCAUCGCGUACAUUAGCCGUUCACGCCUCCGCAUCAAGUCCAGCAGCCUCCGCGUCGUGAUGGAAUGGGGAUGCAGCUUCGAUGAAAUCAUUGUCGAGGAUGCCCCCUGCCUGGAGCGCCUGCUCUUCCAAAGCAUUUCCGACCGGAGGCCCGUCAAGAUUGUCCACGCCCCUAGGCUGGAGGUGCUCGGCUACUUGGACCUUGAACUCCACGCUCUCGAGAUUGGUGGCAUUGUCAUCAGGGCUGGGAUGAGUGUGAGAGCUAGCGCCAUGCUGCCAAGUUUGAAGAUAUUAGCUGUCAAGGUGCGACUUUCGCACGACAUGGAGGUCAAGAUGCUGCACACCCUGCUCAGAUGCUUUCCUCGCCUCGAGACACUUCACAUCAUGGUAUGCCAUAUCGAUAUCUGUUCAUCUCUGCACUUGUUUAUCAAUUGCCAUUCAAGACGAUAA
RNAcentral lists this ribosomal RNA (1296 nucleotides) under Triticum aestivum (bread wheat). Its description in RNAcentral is "partial small subunit ribosomal RNA". The record is from RNAcentral. Lineage: Eukaryota; Viridiplantae; Streptophyta; Magnoliopsida; Poales; Poaceae.